UCCAGACUCCUACGGGAGGCAGCAGUGGGGGAUAUUGCACAAUGGGGGGAACCCUGAUGCAGCGACGCCGCGUGGGUGAAGGAGCGUUUCGGCGCGUAAAGCCCUAUCGGCAGGGAAGAAGGAGGACGGUACCUGACUAAGAAGCCCCGGCUAACUACGUGCCAGCAGCCGCGGUAAUACGUAGGGGGCAAGCGUUAUCCGGAUUUACUGGGUGUAAAGGGGGCGCAGACGGCAGCGCAAGCCAGGAGUGAAAGCCCGGGGCCCAACCCCGGGACUGCUCUUGGAACUGCGCGGCUGGAGUGCAGGAGGGGCAGGCGGAAUUCCUGGUGUAGCGGUGAAAUGCGUAGAUAUUAGGAGGAACACCGGCGGCGAAGGCGGCCUGCUGGACCGUAACUGACGUUGAGGCUCGAAAGCGUGGGGAGCAAACAGGAUUAGAUACCCUGGUAA
RNAcentral lists this ribosomal RNA (447 nucleotides) under uncultured bacterium. Its description in RNAcentral is "partial 16S ribosomal RNA". It matches the Rfam family "Bacterial small subunit ribosomal RNA", at positions 330 to 793 of the family's 1533-position model. The record is from RNAcentral.